GGUAGGGAUGGGGCAGAGAAGUAGAAUUGGAAGGAACACAGAGGUGUCUUCUGUAGUGUGGGAGAGGGGAGUGGGACUACAGAUACACUGUGUGUGGGAAAACAUGACUGUGAUGUAAGGCUGUACACCUGGGGGGAAUGUGGUGUAACCAGGCAUGCCUGUUUGUUUGUGUCACCAGAAACAAUGUGUUUACAACUGUUCCCUUCAGAUAUGCUUCUAAAUUCCAAGGUAUAUGAGAACACUUCUAUCCUAAGCAAGGAAGAGGCUUGAUGGAUUAAGAAAGGCAUAGUGUUUGUAUCAUUGCACUCUGGUCCCACGUGGAAAGGUGUAGCAUGCCCAGGCACCCCACCCACCUUCUUGCAAAAUCAUUGAUGAAGACAGAUGACAACUAAGAGAUGCCAGCUGGGUCAAAAUGAUUAUGGACAGGUCCAAGAUGCUUCCCCCCUCUAAAUGAGCCACUAUCGAAAAACCUGAUGAAACAAACAUGAACCAAUCAGCCCAAAAGAGAACCCAGAUGUUUUCCUCAGGAUUUCCAGGGUUGUUUAUCUAAGCUGCCAGCCAGAAUGAAAAUUGGUUCCUCUUGAAGCUCCUGCAAAAGAUUUGAUGAUUUUGUGACCUAGCUCUUGGAAUCAAAGCUUAACCUCCAAGUCAAACCAACCAUCCCUAUUUCCAGUACAUACAGAAGUACAACCAUCCUGCAGGGAGGAAGUUGCUGCUGAACUCUUCAAG
This is a long non-coding RNA of Passer domesticus (house sparrow), 729 nucleotides long. RefSeq lists it as uncharacterized. The record is from RefSeq and is a predicted model, not a curated record. Lineage: Eukaryota; Metazoa; Chordata; Aves; Passeriformes; Passeridae. The transcript is spliced from 5 exons.